RNAcentral lists this ribosomal RNA (1346 nucleotides) under uncultured bacterium. RNAcentral describes it as "bacterial SSU rRNA". It matches the Rfam family "Bacterial small subunit ribosomal RNA", at positions 28 to 1381 of the family's 1533-position model. The record is from RNAcentral.
GAUAAACGCUGGCGGCGUGCAUAACACAUGCAAGUCGAACGAUGAAGCUUAGAUGAUUUCUUCGGAAUGAAUUUAAGUGGAUUAGUGGCGAACGGGUGAGUAACACGUGAGUAACCUGCCUUACACAAGGGGAUAGCCUCUGGAAACGGAGAAUAAUACCCUAUGAUGUCUAAUCAGCUCCUGCUGGAAAGACCAAAGAUUUAUCGGUGUAAGAUGGACUUGCGUCUGAUUAGCUAGUUGGUGAGAUAAAAGCUCACCAAGGCGACGAUCAGUAGCCGGCUUGAGAGAGUGUACGGCCACAUUGGACUGAGACACGGCCCAAACUCCUACGGGAGGCAGCAGUGGGGAAUUUUGCACAAUGGGGGAAACCCUGAUGCAGCGACGCCGCGUGAUUUAGAAGGCCUUCGGGUUGUAAAAAUCUUUUUUACGGGAUGAAAAUGACAGUACCGUAAGAAUAAGGUCCGGCUAAAUACGUGCCAGCAGCCGCGGUAAUACGUAUGGACCGAGCGUUGUCCGGAAUCAUUGGGCGUAAAGGGUACGUAGGCGGCCUAGUAAGUUAGAAGUGAAAGAAUAUAGCUCAACUAUAUAAAGCUUUUAAAACUGUUAGGCUUGAGAGAUGAAAGGGAAAGUGGAAUUCCUAGUGUAGCGGUGAAAUGCGCAGAUAUUAGGAAGAAUACCGGUGGCGAAGGCGACUUUCUGGUCAUCAUCUGACGCUGAGGUACGAAAGCGUGGGUAGCAAACAGGAUUAGAUACCCUGGUAGUCCACGCUGUAAACGAUGAGUGUUAGGUUCUUGGAAUAAUCUGGGAGCCGCAGCUAACGCAUUAAACACUCCGCCUGGGGAGUACGCACGCAAGUGUGAAACUCAAAGGAAUUGACGGGGACCCGCACAAGCAGCGGAGCAUGUGGUUUAAUUCGACGCAACGCGAAGAACCUUACCAAGUCUUGACAUAAUACGGAGGGAAUUAGAGAUAAUUUCUUACCACUUCGGUGGGCUGUAUUACAGGUGGUGCAUGGUUGUCGUCAGCUCGUGUCGUGAGAUGUUGGGUUAAGUCCCAUAACGAGCGCAACCCCUAUCGUUAGUUACCAUCAUUAAGUUGGGGACUCUAGCGAUACUGCCGGUGAUAAACCGGAGGAAGGUGGGGACGACGUCAAAUCAUCAUGCCCUUUAUGACUUGGGCUACACACGUGCUACAAUGGCAGAUACAGAGGGCAGCGAAAGAGUGAUCUGAAGCGAAACUCACAAAAUCUGUCCCAGUUCGGAUUGCACUCUGCAACUCGAGUGCAUGAAGUUGGAGUUGCUAGUAAUCGCGAAUCAGAAUGUCGCGGUGAAUGCGUUCCCGGGUCU